Molecule: ribosomal RNA, 332 nt
Filed under: uncultured eukaryote
Lineage: Eukaryota
Description: partial 18S ribosomal RNA
Rfam family: Eukaryotic small subunit ribosomal RNA
Source: RNAcentral
CCCUUAGAUGUUCUGGGCUGCACACGUGCUACACUAGCAGGUUCAGCGAGCUUCAUGCCCUGAUCUGAAAGGAAUGGGAAAUCUUUUCAAAACCUGCCGUGCUUGGGAUAGAUGUUUGCAAUUAUUCAUCUUCAACGAGGAUUGCCUUGUAAGCGCACGUCAUCAGCGUGCAUUGAAUACGACCCUGUAUUCUGUACACACCGCCCGUCGCUCCUACCGAUUGAAGUUUUCGGUGAGUUGACAGGAGGAUUUUUUUGAAACUGGUUCGCCAGUGGAUUUUAGAUCCAAAUGCCAACGAAUCGAUGGCUUUAGAGGAAGGAGAAGUCGUAACA